UGUUUUCCUACACUGCAGCUGAACAUCACUGUUAUAUAAAGCUGACUGCCUAGGCAUCUCCAGGACAACACCUCAAGCUCUUGGCAUCUUGCAUUUUGCAUCAGUGCCCCAUCUGCUUCCCUAAGAUUGAGCUGUAACACAGACAAGUGGAUGUUUUGCUGCGGGAUGAACAUUUAGCAGGGUCUGCCUCUUCCUCCUGUGUUGUGACCUAAUUCCUCCGCACAGGGAGUAAGGUCAGAAGUUGAAAAGGCCAUGGUCAUUCAGCUGGGCACUGGAGAACUCAUGAUUUGUUCUUUUUAGACGAGCCCACACCAGUUAUCCUAUUGAAAGAGGGGACUGAUAGCUCCCAAGGCAUCCCCCAGCUUGUGAGUAACAUCAGUGCCUGCCAGGUGAUUGCUGAAGCUGUAAGAACCACCCUGGGUCCCCGUGGCAUGGACAAGCUUAUUGUGGAUGGCAGAGGCAAAGCAACAAUUUCUAAUGAUGGGGCCACAAUUCUGAAACUUCUUGAUGUUGUCCAUCCUGCAGCAAAGACUUUGGUAGACAUUGCCAAAUCCCAAGAUGCUGAGGUAGGAAAAUAGUUGUGUGUUUAAAUGGAGG
Long non-coding RNA from Cercocebus atys (sooty mangabey), 597 nucleotides. RefSeq lists it as uncharacterized. NCBI's taxonomy places the organism in Eukaryota, Metazoa, Chordata, Mammalia, Primates, Cercopithecidae. The transcript is spliced from 3 exons. The record is from RefSeq and is a predicted model, not a curated record.